GAGUUCUCAUUUAGUGGGAGCUUUAAAUAAUCAUGGCAACAAUAAAAGGUUUGAAGGGAAGUGCUACAAUUAUGGGAAGAAGGUGUAAGGGAAUGUCAAAUUCUGUUGUUAUUAUUUAAUAUAUACAGUGUACAUUAGCUGUAUAUUAGGUGUAUAUUUAGUCAUAUCUUUGUAUUCCUUUAUUAGUUAUUUACCUUAUUUAGCUUGUAAUCCUUGAUAUAAAUACCUGUAUAUUUACCUUUCAUAAUAUGAAUAAUUACAACCAAUUUCUCUCAUCUUCUAUUCCUCUCAAACCCUAAACUUUACA
RNAcentral lists this unclassified non-coding RNA (307 nucleotides) under Hevea brasiliensis (rubber tree). The record is from RNAcentral. Lineage: Eukaryota; Viridiplantae; Streptophyta; Magnoliopsida; Malpighiales; Euphorbiaceae.